RNAcentral lists this ribosomal RNA (383 nucleotides) under uncultured bacterium. Its description in RNAcentral is "bacterial SSU rRNA". It matches the Rfam family "Bacterial small subunit ribosomal RNA", at positions 30 to 416 of the family's 1533-position model. The record is from RNAcentral.
UGAACGCUGGCGGCAUGCCUAACACAUGCAAGUCGCACGCGAAAGCGGGGCAACCCGCAAGUAGAGUGGCGGACGGGUGAGGAAUACAUGGGAAUCUACCCAGUCGUGGGGGACAACCCGGUGAAAACCGGGCUAAUACCGCAUACGACCCACGGGUGAAAGCGGGGGACCUUCGGGCCUCGCGCGAUUGGAUGAGCCCAUGUCCGAUUAGCUAGUUGGCGGGGUAAAGGCCCACCAAGGCGACGAUCGGUAGCUGGUCUGAGAGGACGGCCAGCCACACUGGGACUGAGACACGGCCCAGACUCCUACGGGAGGCAGCAGUGGGGAAUAUUGCACAAUGGGCGCAAGCCUGAUGCAGCAACGCCGCGUGAGGGACGACGGCC